UGGGGAAUUUUGGACAAUGGGCGAAAGCCUGAUCCAGCAAUGCCGCGUGUGUGAAGAAGGCCUUCGGGUUGUAAAGCACUUUUGUCCGGAAAGAAAACGCCGUGGUUAAUACCCGUGGCGGAUGACGGUACCGGAAGAAUAAGCACCGGCUAACUACGUGCCAGCAGCCGCGGUAAUACGUAGGGUGCAAGCGUUAAUCGGAAUUACUGGGCGUAAAGCGUGCGCAGGCGGUCCGCUAAGACAGAUGUGAAAUCCCCGGGCUUAACCUGGGAACUGCAUUUGUGACUGGCGGGCUAGAGUAUGGCAGAGGGGGGUAGGAUUCCACGUGUAGCAGUGAAAUGCGUAGAGAUGUGGAGGAAUACCGAUGGCGAAGGCAGCCCCCUGGGCCAAUACUGACGCUCAUGCACGAAAGCGUGGGGAGCAAACAGG
RNAcentral lists this ribosomal RNA (429 nucleotides) under Bacillota bacterium. RNAcentral's name for it is "Firmicutes bacterium partial 16S ribosomal RNA". It matches the Rfam family "Bacterial small subunit ribosomal RNA", at positions 355 to 776 of the family's 1533-position model. Lineage: Bacteria; Bacillati; Bacillota. The record is from RNAcentral.